GAUGAACGCUAGCUACAGGCUUAACACAUGCAAGUCGAGGGCAGCGCAGUGUAGCAAUACAUGGGCGGCGACCGGCGCACGGGUGCGUAACGCGUAUCCAACCUUCCCGUUACUCAGGGAUAGCCUUCCGAAAGGGAGAUUAAUACCUGAUGGUGUUGAAAUUCCGCAUGUUAUUUCAACUAAAGAUUUAUCGGUAACGGAUGGGGAUGCGUGACAUUAGAUAGUAGGCGGGUAACGGCCCACCUAGUCUACGAUGUCUAGGGGUUCUGAGAGGAAGGUCCCCCACACUGGAACUGAGACACGGUCCAGACUCCUACGGGAGGCAGCAGUGAGGAAUAUUGGUCAAUGGUCGGAAGACUGAACCAGCCAAGUAGCGUGAAGGAUGAAGGUUCUAUGGAUUGUAAACUUCUUUUAUACGGGAAUAAAACCUCCCACGUGUGGGAGCUUGUAUGUACCGUAUGAAUAAGCAUCGGCUAACUCCGUG
RNAcentral lists this ribosomal RNA (484 nucleotides) under uncultured bacterium. Its description in RNAcentral is "bacterial SSU rRNA". It matches the Rfam family "Bacterial small subunit ribosomal RNA", at positions 28 to 507 of the family's 1533-position model. The record is from RNAcentral.